GUAAAAGAAAGACCCUUAAAGGGCCACUGUCGUAAAAUGGGAGGGGGUGCCGUAAAGCGCGACUGUUGUAAAAGGUGCUGUAAAGCGCGACUGUCGUAAAAAUGCCGUAAAACACGACUGUUGUGAAACUGCCAUAAAGCGCGACUGUUGUAAAAGGUGUCGUAAAGCACGACUGUCGUAAAAGGAGCAACUUUAUUGGCUUAUAGGAGCUGAUCUUCAGCAAGGUCCAGGAUCUCUGUGCAGUGGAACCGCAGAAGAGGAGAUGCCCUGCACUGCCAGCCUGCCCUCCCUCAUGCCCUGCAGGGUUGUUUUCUCUGUGUAAGAGCUGGUGGAAGAAGUGAAGUCAUUAGCAGGACGUGUGUGGCUGCCCCGUGCUCUGCCCUCCUUGCUGGAUGUUGGGACACAUAGAGCUGAUGAUACUGAAGGGUUAAAGAGGAAAUGGGACAGGCUGUGGAUUCCCAGAUAAAAUAUGAGGGGAGUUUGUGCUCUGACAGCUCUGUCCUUGUCCCAGGUACAAAAGGCCUUGAAUCAGCGGAAUGCCUCAGGUGGAGAUCCAGGGGGAUGGAUCUGCUCCCUCCCUCCUGGAUUUUUUCCCUGCUUGCUCUCAGUGUAUGUGCUGAGUGCCCAUAAGCUGCCUCCCUUCAUCUCCUUAGGCACAUGGAAUGGACCACACUGUCCAGAGCUAGGAGAUGAGAAUUCCCCAGGAAAUCAGGAUUCUCUCCUGGGAAAGAUGGAUAAACCCCACGGUGUACCAGCAGGGGCUGGAAUAUUCCCCACAUCCUGCUAG
Molecule: long non-coding RNA, 787 nt
Filed under: Junco hyemalis (dark-eyed junco)
Lineage: Eukaryota; Metazoa; Chordata; Aves; Passeriformes; Passerellidae
Description: lncRNA (ENSJHYG00000000438.1)
Source: RNAcentral